Molecule: ribosomal RNA, 799 nt
Filed under: uncultured Rhizophagus
Lineage: Eukaryota; Fungi; Glomeromycota; Glomeromycetes; Glomerales; Glomeraceae
Description: SSU rRNA
Rfam family: Eukaryotic small subunit ribosomal RNA
Source: RNAcentral
AUCAACUUUCGAUGGUAGGAUAGAGGCCUACCAUGGUGGUAACGGGUAACGGGGUGUUAGGGCACGACACCGGAGAGGGAGCCUGAGAAACGGCUACCACAUCCAAGGGUGGCAGCAGGCGCGCAAAUUACCCAAUCCCGACACGGGGAGGUAGUGACAAUAAAUAACAAUACGGGGUCCUUACGGGUCUCGUAAUUGGAAUGAGUACAAUUUAAAUCUCUUAACGAGGAACAAUUGGAGGGCAAGUCUGGUGCCAGCAGCCGCGGUAAUUCCAGCUCCAAUGGCGUAUAUUAAAGUUGUUGCAGUUAAAAAGCUCGUAGUUGAAUUUCGGGAUCAGUACGCUGGUCAUGCCUUUGGUAUGCACUGGUGUCACUGGUUUCUCCCUUCUGAAGAACCGUGAUGUCAUUAAUUUGGUGUCGCGGGGAAUCAGGACUGUUACUUUGAAAAAAUUAGAGUGUUUAAAGCAGGCUCACGCUUGAAUACGUUAGCAUGGAAUAAUGAAAUAGGACGUUUGACCCUAUUUUGUUGGUUUCUAGGAUCGACGUAAUGAUUAAUAGGGAUAGUUGGGGGCAUUAGUAUUCAAUUGUCAGAGGUGAAAUUCUUGGAUUUAUUGAAGACUAACUACUGCGAAAGCAUUUGCCAAGGAUGUUUUCAUUAAUCAAGAACGAAAGUUAGGGGAUCGAAGACGAUCAGAUACCGUCGUAGUCUUAACCAUAAACUAUGCCGACUAGGGAUCGGAUGAUGUUAAUUUUAUAAUGACUCAUUCGGCGCCUUACGGGAAACCAAAGUGUUUGGGUUC